UCCGUAGGGUGCAAGCGUUGUCCGGAAUUAUUGGGCGUAAAGAGCUCGUAGGCGGUUUGUCGCGUCUGCUGUGAAAACCCGAGGCUCAACCUCGGGCCUGCAGUGGGUACGGGCAGACUAGAGUGCGGUAGGGGAGAUUGGAAUUCCUGGUGUAGCGGUGGAAUGCGCAGAUAUCAGGAGGAACACCAAUGGCGAAGGCAGAUCUCUGGGCCGUAACUGACGCUGAGGAGCGAAAGCAUGGGGAGCGAACAGG
Molecule: ribosomal RNA, 253 nt
Filed under: uncultured bacterium
Lineage: Bacteria
Description: partial 16S ribosomal RNA
Rfam family: Bacterial small subunit ribosomal RNA
Source: RNAcentral